RNAcentral lists this unclassified non-coding RNA (385 nucleotides) under Hevea brasiliensis (rubber tree). Lineage: Eukaryota; Viridiplantae; Streptophyta; Magnoliopsida; Malpighiales; Euphorbiaceae. The record is from RNAcentral.
ACCAGGGACCACUGCCUUUGUUGCUGUUGUCACAAAAAUGAGAAACAUACCUUUAAAAUGGGGAGGACGAAGAGUACCAUAUUCAUUGUGAACAUUGCAUUCAUAACAGUUAAAGCAAAAAUACAAUAAUCAACAGGGGUUAUCACUGAAAGCAAAUCAACACAAGGCUAAAUUUGGAUAAAGAGAUUUGAAAUUUUAAAAACUUUUAUUACAAAUAAUGUCAAAUGAAAUUUAGAUUUAUAACAAAGAUAAAAAUAUAUGGUUAAUCCAACUGUUAUAGUGUGCAUUAGAAAUUAUAUCUUUUUAGCAUGUAUUUCAAAAUCCAUGCUUAUAUUACUUUAAAUACAUAAUUAUGAAUUUAAUAUCAAUUCAAUGAAUCUGCCAA